GUGCUCGCUUUGGCAGCACAUAUACUAAAAUUGGACCGAUACAGAGAAGAUUAGCAUGGCCCUGUGUAAGGAUGACACGCAAAUUCAUGAAGCGUUCCAUAAUAAU
Molecule: small nuclear RNA, 106 nt
Organism: Pseudonaja textilis
Lineage: Eukaryota; Metazoa; Chordata; Lepidosauria; Squamata; Elapidae
Source: Ensembl